UAGGGAAUUUUCCACAAUGGGCGAAAGCCUGAUGGAGCAACGCCGCGUGCAGGAUGAAGGUCUUCGGAUUGUAAACUGCUUUUAUCUGUGACGAUUAUGACGGUAGCAGAUGAAUAAGGAUCGGCUAACUCCGUGCCAGCAGCCGCGGUCAUACGGAGGAUCCAAGCGUUAUCCGGAAUUACUGGGCGUAAAGAGUUGCGUAGGUGGCAUUGUAAGUCAGUAGUGAAAGCGUUCGGCUCAACCGAAUAUCCAUUACUGAAACUACAAAGCUAGAGGAUGAGAGAGGUUAUUGGAAUUCCUAGUGUAGGAGUGAAAUCCGUAGAUAUUAGGAGGAACACCGAUGGCGUAGGCAGAUAACUGGCUCAUUCCUGACACUAAGGCACGAAAGCGUGGGUAGCAA
This 400-nucleotide ribosomal RNA is filed under the name uncultured bacterium. RNAcentral's name for it is "bacterial SSU rRNA". It matches the Rfam family "Bacterial small subunit ribosomal RNA", at positions 355 to 771 of the family's 1533-position model. The record is from RNAcentral.